RNA transcript from Homo sapiens (human), 8442 nucleotides. It is a transcript of the gene named cell division cycle 27 pseudogene 10, with no coding region annotated. NCBI's taxonomy places the organism in Eukaryota, Metazoa, Chordata, Mammalia, Primates, Hominidae. The record is from RefSeq and is a predicted model, not a curated record. The transcript has a single exon.
GGGGUGCCUGUGGCACUGCAGAAAGUGGGCCUGAGCCUCGAGGAUGGCGGUGCUGCAGGGACCCGUCCAGGCUGCUAUAUGGCAAGCACUAAACCACUAUGCCUACCGAGAUGCGGUUUCCCCCGCAGAACGCCUUUAUGCAGAAGUACACUCAGAAGAAGCCUUGUUCUUACUGGCGACCUGUUCUUACCGCUCAGGAAAGGCCUAUAAAACAUAUAGACUCUUGAAAGGACACAGUUGUACUACCCCGCAAUGCAAAUGCCUGCUUGCGAAAUGUUGUGUUGAUCUCAGCAAGCUUGCAGAAGGGGAUCAAAUCUUAUCGGGUGGAGUGUUUCAUAAGCAGAAAAGCCACGAUGAUAUUAUCGUUCCUGAGUUUGGUGAUUCAGCUCGCUUUCCCCUUCCAUCGUCGGGACAUGUAUAUUGCAAGACAGAUCGGCUUACCAAAGGAUCAGAAUGUGACCAAAAGAGCCUUCGUUGAAAUCCUUUCCUCUGGUGUCCCUUUGAAUCAUGAUGUGAAAUAGGGGGGAAAAGCCAGAUCCUGACCAAACAUUUUGAUUCACCUCUCUAGAGAGCUUUAGCAACUGCCUGUCCAAGUGUUGCGCCACAACACUUGGACCUCGUCCUAGUUUAUGUCACAGACAGCCCGAGACCGUUCUUACGGAAACACCCCAGGACACCGUCGAAUGAAACGGAUGGAAUUUAGAAUCUUCCAAUUCAAAGUACUCCUUGAAUACAGACUCCCCAGUGUCUUCUAUCGAUUCAGCUGUCCUUUCACCUGAUACUGUCCCACUGGGAACAGGAACUUCCAUAUGAUCUAAACAGGUUCAACAUAAACCAAAAACUGGUCGAAGUUUAUUAGGAGGACCAGCAGCUGUUAGUCCAUUAACCCCAAGUGUUGGCAUUUUGCCAUUAGAAACCCCAAGUCCCGGAGACGGACCCUAUUGACAAAACUGCACUGGUAUGAGACACCGUCUGUCAUUGACGUGCCAUCCACCGGAGCCCCUUCAAAAAAGCCUGUUGCCAGAAUCGGCCAAACCGGAACACCGUCUGUCUUCUCGCAGAGGGGAAAGAGCCGAAAGGUAACUCCAGUCCUUGCAAAAACACAAAGUUCUGGUCCGCCGACAAGGGCAACACCUCAGGUAUUGAGCCCCACUAUGGCAUCUCCCCCAAAUGCACCGCCUCGAAGAAAUUCACGACUCUUGACUAGUGACAGCUCCACAACCGAGGAGAAUAGGAGAAAAUUAAAAAUGAAGUUUCCACCUAAAAUCCCAAACAGAAGAACCAAAAGUAAAACUAAUAAAGGAGCAAUAACUCCACCGAACAUAAGUGAUAGCCUGGAAGUGACAAAAUUGGACUCUUCCGUCAUUUCAGAAGGGAAAAUAGCCACAAUCGCGCCUCAGAUUCAGGCUUUUAAUCUACAAAAAGCAGCAGCGGAAGGCUUGAUGAGCCUUCUUCGUGAAAGGGGGAAAGGUUAUUUAGCUUUGUGUUCUUACCACGGCAAAGAAGCUAUCAGCAUCUUGAGCCAUCUAGCUUCUCACCACUGCAAUACCGGUUGGGUACUGUGCCAAAUCGGAAGGGCCUAUUGUAAACUUUCAGAGUCCACGCAAGCUGAAAGACAAUUCUCAGAGGUUAGGAGGAUUGAGAAUUACAGAGUCGAAGGCAUGGAGAUCUACUCUACAACACUUUGGCAUCCUCCGAAAGAGGUUGCUCUUUCAGUUCUGUCCAAAGACUUCACAGACAUGGAUAAAAAUUCGCCAGCCAGAGGCCUGGUGUGCUGCAGGGAACUGUUUCGGUCUGCAACGGGAACACGAUAUUGCGAUUCAAUUCUUCCAGAGAACUCUCGAAGUGGAUCCAAAUGAUGCUUAUGCCUAUAGCGCAUUAGGGCGUGAGCUUGUCUUCACUGAAGAACUGGACAAAGCAUUAGCUUGUUUUCGAAAUGCUAUCAGGGUCAAUCCUAGACAUUGUAAGGCAUGGUAAGUGCUAAUGAAGCGUAAAGACAAAGCCCUAUGGAUGGUGCCGGUACUCGCUAAUUUUUCUGGUUAGAUAGCUCUUUAUUGUCACGAAUUUGGUGAAAAAUACUUAGGGAUGGUACCUACUGCUGAAUAACUUCUAACUAAGAUGUUUCCUUACGAAACGUAUGUCUUGAACAAACUCUGAAGUGAACUCAUGAUCGUAGAAUACCAGAUCCUUAUACUCAACAGUUUCAGUCUUCUAGCAAACUUUUGCAGACGCUGUAGUUGUCUUUGGUUUGUGUGUGUGUUUCUUUAGUUGUGUUCCUUGAUUUGUUACUUUUUCUUCGAGCACCGAAGUGGUGAUGGGGACAAGAAGUGCUUGGGAGACUGGAAAGGAAUAGCAUAGUUCACUUAUUGGAUAAUAGAAAAAUACAUGGAAACAAUUCACUAGCUGCUGCUUUUUGACAGUGUUCCAGUUUACGGAGUUACUAUGAAGAACUUCACGUACCCUUUAAUUUAGCAGUCUCUCUGUUUUACUCUUUUGUACUCGUGUAUAAGUAGGCACAUAGGAAAUUACUACCUAGGUCAUAUUGUUAUCAACUGAAUAAGAUAGGAAAAAGUGUGGUCCUACUUCUGCCUCAACACCAUCCUCACCGUUGACAUUUAUUGCGUUUCUCUGGACUGACUUCAUAGUUUAAACGUCAAGAGAAGGCCGGGCUCAGUGGCUCACGCCUGUCAUCCCAGCACUUUGGGAGGCCGAGGCGGGCGGGUCACGAGGUCAAGAGAUCGAGACCAUCCGGGCCGACACGGUGAAACCCCGUCUCUAUUAAAAGUAUAAAGAUUAGCUGGGCGUGGUGGCGGGCACCUGUAGUCCCAGCUACUCGGGAGGCUGAGGCAGGAGAAUCGCUUGAACCCAGGGAGGUGGCGGUUGCAGUGAGCCGAGAUCACACCAUCGCACUCCAGCCUGGGCGACAGAGCGAGACGCCGUCUCAAGAGAAAUAAAUUAAAAAAAAUAAAUACAUACAUAAGUAAAUAUCAAGAGAAAGUAUGAUUCUGAAGUCAUAACCCUGUGGUAGUUAUUUUGUCAGAUACGGUGAUCUUUGGGGUGACUUAUUACAGCAGUGGAGUUCUAUCAUUUGAUUUGCUUCUAAAUCUGAAGCAUUAUAUUACUGAAACACUUUUUGAUUUGCGAAUAUGUUGUUUAAUGGAUCAUAUCUCAUUUUGCUGUAGUAGUUACAUUGCCCGAAAGAUGGCCAAAAAGAUAGUGCCAGCUACUGCUGACCAACGUAACAAUCAACUUGCCAAUACUGCCUUCUCUUCCGAUAGCUACGUUCUCCGUCCUAUUUUAAGAACUCAGUUCUUCAUAAGACUUGUGUGGUUUUCGAUUUUUUCCCAAGUCUGGUUGAUCCUUGUGUUGUUAUUUUUUUAAAUGUGUAUCGUCUGUUCAGCUAUUUUGCAGGAGUCGCAUUCUUAAAAAAAUCUUAACCCUAUCAAAAAUUGUGUUUGUUUAAAGGAGGAUUAUUCAGAUUGGCCAGCUUUUACUAGGAAGAGUGUAAAUGCUGACGUAUUUAGGUAGCUCUAAAUACUGAGCAACUUUAUUCUAACCACAAAAUAGAUAGCCUUUCUUUUGUCUUCACUUUCACUAUCAUUAGCACAGUGUUUAAUACCGUUUCUUCAUCUAUAACACAAUUAUAAUGAUAUAGGAAGCCACUCAAAUAAGGCAGACAUGUUGCGUUGCGCUUAAAAAAAAAAAAAAAAAGAAGUCUCUCUGUGGCACGGAAUGAGGUGUGGCUCGAAUCUAGAAUCUCCAGUGAAAACCAAUGAAAGAGGGUGAAACCCCGUGUCUACCAAAAAAAAAAAAAAAAAAAAAAAAAAAAAAAAAAAAAAAAAAAUGAGCCGGCCAUGGUGGCGCUGAAACAGGAAAAUCACUUGAACCCAGGAGGCAAAGGUUCCAGUGAGCUGAAAUCACGCCACUGCACUCCAGCCUGGGGGACAGAGCAAGACUCCAUCUCAGAAACAAACAAACACACAAAGCCAGUCAAGGUGUUUAAUUCGACGGUGUCAGGCUCAGGUCUCUUGACAGGAUACAUCCAGCACCCGGGGGAAACGUCGAUGGGUGGGGUGGAAUCUAUUUUGUGGCCUCAAGGGAGGGUUUGAGAGGUAGUCCCGCAAGCGGUGAUGGCCUAAGGAAGCCCCUCCGCCCAAGAAGCGAUAUUCAUUUCUAGCCUGUAGCCACCCAAGAGGGAGAAUCGGGCUCGCCACAGACCCCACAACCCCCAACCCACCCCACCCCCACCCCUCCCACCUCGUGAAAUGGGCUCUCGCUCCGUCAGGCUCUAGUCACACCGUGUGGUUUUGGAACCUCCAGCGUGUGUGCGUGGGUUGCGUGGUGGGGUGGGGCCGGCUGUGGACAGAGGAGGGGAUAAAGCGGCGGUGUCCCGCGGGUGCCCGGGACGUGGGGCGUGGGGCGUGGGUGGGGUGGCCAGAGCCUUGGGAACUCGUCGCCUGUCGGGACGUCUCCCCUCCUGGUCCCCUCUCUGACCUACGCUCCACAUCUUCGCCGUUCAGUGGGGACCUUGUGGGUGGAAGUCACCAUCCCUUUGGACUUUAGCCGACGAAGGCCGGGCUCCCAAGAGUCUCCCCGGAGGCGGGGCCUUGGGCAGGCUCACAAGGAUGCUGACGGUGACGGUUGGUGACGGUGAUGUACUUCGGAGGCCUCGGGCCAAUGCAGAGGUAUCCAUUUGACCUCGGUGGGACAGGUCAGCUUUGCGGAGUCCCGUGCGUCCUUCCAGAGACUCAUCCAGCGCUAGCAAGCAUGGUCCCGAGGAUCCCAGCUCCCAGCAGAGGCACUUUUGGUCACACAGGAUCCUGGGCAGGAAAGUUCUCAGCAGGCUUAGGCCUCCUAGCCAAAAAGCCAAAACCACUUCUGGGAUUUUUUUCAAAGAGCCAGUGGUUCCACAAGGGGCCGUGGGUAGUUGUGGAAAUGGAGAGAAGUGUUUGCACGUACAUAUUUGAGACAGGACGGACAGGGCUCGGUCACAGAUCACUUAGGACACGGGCAGAUGCACAUUGAGAAAACUCUUCCGGCAUCCUAGGGGAACAGAGGUACGAUUUUUCGAGACAGUCGAGGGAGAAGCCACCCCAGAUUUUAGGAUUGGAUCUUUAUUCAUAUGUAGUUUCUAUGAGGUAUCCAAGUCCAGAAAUCAACUCGCCAGUUCUGUACAGCAUUCUGUAGGGAGAUCAAAUCUGGGAUGUCAGAAGUGAAGAAUUCAGGCCUUGGUAAGGGAUUAGAUUAGAUGUACUUGAGCUUCUUUUGCAAAAAAAGAGAGGGCGGGGGAUAGCGAGAGCCAGAGACCGAGACAGACAGACGGACAGACAGACAGAGAGAGAGAGAGAGAGAGAGAGACAGAGAGACAGAGACAGAGACAGACAGAGAGAGACAACGAUACACAGAGAGAGAAAGACAGAAAGAGAGAGAGAGACAGAUAAAGAGACAGACGGAGAGAGACAGAUAAAGAGACAGACGGAGAAAGACAGAGAUGGACAGAGACAGAGAGAAACAGAAAGAGAGAGAAACAGACAGGAAGGGAGAGAGACAGGCAGAGAGAGAGAGACAAACAGACAGGCAGACAGACAGGCAGAGAAAGAGAGUAAGACAGAAGGCAGACACACACACACACACACACACACAUACACACACACACACACACCCCCACAGAGAGAGAGAGACAGAGAGAGAGACAGAGACAGACAGAGAGACAGAGAGAAAGAGACAGAGAGAGAAAGACAGACAGAGAGAAACAGACAGAAAGAGAGACACAGACAGAGACAGAGAAACAGCCGACAGGGGGGAGAGAGAGAGAGAGACAGACAGAGAGAGACAGACAGACAGACAGGCAGAGAAAGACAGUAAGACAGAAGACAGACACACAGAGAGAGAGAGAGAGACAGAGACAGAAAGAAAGACAAAGACAGAGAGAGAGAGAGAGAGAGAAACAGACAGGGGGAGAGAGAGAGAGAGACAGACAGACAGGGAGAGAGAGAGAGAGAGACUAAGACAGAAGACAGACACAGUGAGAGAGACAGAGACAGAGAGAAGGAAAGACAAAGACAGACAGACAAAGAGACAGACAGAGAAAGACAGAGACGGACAGAGAGACAGAGAGAAACAGAAAGAGAGAGAGAGACACACAGAGAGAGAGAGUGAGAGAGACAGGCAGGCAGAGAGAGAGAGUAAGACAGAAGACAGAGUGAGAGAGACAGGCAGAGAGAGACAGAGAGAAGGAAAGAGAGAGACAGUCAGAGAAAGACAGAGACGGAGAGAGAGAAACAGAAAGAGAGAGAGAGACAGAGACAGAGAGAAACAUACAGACAGGGAGAGAGAGAGAGAGAGACCGACAGACAGACAGAGAAAGGGAGUAAGACAGAAGACAGACACAGUGAGAGAGACAGGCAGAGAGAGAGAGAGAGAGAGAGGCAGAGAGAGAGAAACAGACAGGCAGAGAGAGAGAGACACAGAGAGAGAGAGAGAGAGAAGACAGACAGAGAAAGAGAGAGACAGAGACAGACAGAGAGACAGAGAGAGGGGGAGGAAGGGCGUGCUCAAGAAAUAAUCACACAUAUUUUAUAAUGCUUUUGAUCCCAUAAACGGUGGCCGGGGUAUACUUUGAAAACAACGACAACGACAACAACAACGACAACGACAACAGCAACGACGACAACAACAACAACAACAACAGCAACAAGAGCAGCAGCAGCAUUCGCCUACGGAUUUCUAGAAAAUAAGAUGUCAUGAUGAAGGAUAGUAAACAUCAACCGGCUCUCACUGCACGUUGAGAGAGUCACAAAAGCGCUAGUUCACAACAGGAAAAAACGGCAGCUAACGUGUCUUGGGGAAAAUAGACGUCUUCCUGAAAACUGGGGAUUUCUACUUCACCUGAAAAGAAAGACAUACGAGAAAGGAAAAACACGAACAAAACAAAACAGAACGAAACAAAACAAGCCAACAAACACGGGCCAAGGCGCCGUCCCUGGAAAUCUUAAGUGAGCAAAGUUAUUAGUUUUCAGAAAGCGUUUCUAUUUUGGGCAAGUACUGAGAAGGCCCAGACUAGAGCCGUGGCGCCCUUCGCAUUGUGAAACUCUGCUGGCCGGAGGGCGGAGAAACUAAAACAUCGUGAUAAAAGGUGACCGAGACCCAGCCAGGGUGAAGCUUUCCUAGGGAGGGAGGCCUGAGGCGGGAAGCAGCGGGGGGAAAAGCCUCACAACUGCAGACCCGCCCGCUUGCCCACGCGGGUCAAGGGGCUAUGCCAUCGGCCCAAGCUGCCUCCGGGGAAGUGGGACCGUGCCGCCCCCAUCUUCAAAAACGGUGGCCCCCGAGUGAGGCCUGACGCCCACCGAUGCAAAUGUCAGCCUGGCAAGAAUGAGAUCGCCGGCAAGGGGUGGGGGAAGGGGAGAGAAGACGGAGGCACACCGGGGUGGCUCUGGAAGGUUUCCAAGCAGGGUGUUGGGAGGCGGGGGGGGGGGGGGCGGUUUGGGGGAAACCCACCUAACCGACUCACUAAAUUAAGGUGAAGGGACGUGGGUAGUGGGGGGAGCCGGGGGGCAACUUGAAAAUUAAACUGACCCUUCCCAAAGCCCAAGUAGAAGAGUCUAGGCGCCAAAACACAAAGAAAAGUAAAGCGCCGAUCAAAGAACAAUAGGGCCCCCGCCAGGGCGGAGGUUCCCUAGGCGAGGUUCCCUAGGCAACGAGGGAGAGAGGGAGGGGCCUCCAGAAGGGAGAGAGAGAAACCCGUUGCCCCAGGCUCGGUGAAGUCGGCGAGACCUCCCUCCGUGUCACGUCGACUUUCAAUAACAGUGGCCGCUAGGUGAUGCCCGAAGACAACCGAUGCCUGCCUGCAAAUGUCCGUCAGCAGGGAAAAGAAUUAAUGAAUUAAUUAAUUUCCGUAUUUAUUUAGAGACCGAGUCUCACUCACUCUACAGCCUGGGCCGUAGUGCAGUGGCGCGAUCUCGGCUCCCUGCAGCCUCCGCUUCCCUGGUUCAAGCGAUUCUCCCGCCUCAGCCUCCCGAGGAGCUGGCAUUACAGGGGCCUGCCCCACCGCUCCCGACUCAGCUUUGUAUUUUUAGUAGAGACGGGGUUUCGCCGUGUUGCGUCCGGCCUUAACAGUUUAUGUUGAAGUCGAGGAGCUUAUCGGGGAAAUAGGAGAAGUACGGACGCCACACGUGACCGAGAGAAAAGUCUGAAAAUGCCCCUCGCAUCCAAGCGGGGACCCGGCCUCGACCUCCCGAAAUCGUACACCGAGUGGGGAAGCCCAGCAAGGCCCGCCUGUCUAGAUUCCUCUCGGCCUCUCUAAGCACCGAAGCACGCGCUUCUCACUCUCGUGGAAGGGGCAGGGCCCUACCCGGCACGGGGGUGUCUGACAGACUGACAGAGAAAGAGACAGACAUAGAAAGACAGAGAUGGACAGCGAGAGAUAGAGAGAAACAGACAGAA